AGUGAACGCUGGCGGCAGGCCUAAUACAUGCAAGUCGAACGGCAGCACAGCAGAGCUUGCUCUGUGGGUGGCGAGUGGCGGACGGGUGAGGAAUACAUGGGAAUCUGCCCAGUCGUGGGGGAUAACGUAGGGAAACUUACGCUAAUACCGCAUGCGGCCCUUCGGGGGAAAGCCGGGGACCUUCGGGCCUGGCGCGAUUGGAUGUAGCCCAGUGUCGGAUUAGCUAGUUGGCGGGGUAAUGGCCCACCAAGGCGACGAUCCGUAGCUGGUCUGAGAGGAUGAUCAGCCACACUGGAACUGAGACACGGUCCAGACUCCUACGGGAGGCAGCAGUAGGGAAUAUUGGACAAUGGGCGCAAGCCUGAUCCAGCCAUGCCGCGUGAGUGAAGAAGGCCCUCGGGUUGUAAAGCUCUUUUGUCCGGAAAGAAAAGCGCCGGGUUAAUACCCUGGUGUCCUGACGGUACCGGAAGAAUAAGCACCGGCUAACUUCGUG
RNAcentral lists this ribosomal RNA (493 nucleotides) under uncultured bacterium. RNAcentral's name for it is "bacterial SSU rRNA". It matches the Rfam family "Bacterial small subunit ribosomal RNA", at positions 29 to 507 of the family's 1533-position model. The record is from RNAcentral.